CUGAAUGUCACAGUAAGUACAGCUGAGUGCAACAGAUGGGUGACCUGGUGCUUCAAGGAGAGACACUACUGUUCGCUACAGGUAAGUGGACAUUUAUCCUUUUUUUAGGUUUGCAAACAUUAAUGAGUCAUUUAAAAAUAUAUAAAAAAUGAGCAAAACAUAAUUAACUUAUUGUUAGAGUGUGUAACUGUAAGUCUAAACAAGUUAAAGUACUUAUUUAAAUGGUCUGAAAUAAACGUUUCUCUGUUUCUUUUUGUAGCAGACCCAGUGGUUGGUCACUAAUCGUCUGUGGUAAUUAAAUAAAACCAUGCAGAGGACUUAUAGUAACUUACAACUCUAUAGACCCAUCAAAGAGAGGAGCUGCGUGAGUCCAUCCCUCUCCCCUUGCAGGAGCCUAUCUUCCCCCUCCAAAACCCCCGCCAGCUUCCAACAAAAACUGUCUUCUAAGCACUGGGAGGAGGGUCCAGCUGAAACAGCUGACUUUAAAGAAACCCUCAAAGCAUUGGAUGACUCAUCUGAGAGCCGCUGGCUUACAGAAUUGUUACCGUUGUGUUCAGAUUGCCAGGCUUUCAUGAGCAUGGGCAACCAACUGGGAACCAAACCUAAGCCAAAUUGUCACAGUUACACAGAAACUUGGGAUGCUUUAUCAAACUCCCCCAGAGUCCAGAUAUCUUGGAAGAGAAGAAGAAGAGCUGAGGGGCAUGUUUACACCAGUGACCUUCAGGAUAACCUCAAGAUGGUAUCCGGGACUCUACGGGCACCUCUGAAGGCAAGGAGACUGAGGAAACUCCAGAGGUUGAGGUCUUCUUCCUUUGAGGAGUGGGAGUGUGAAGAAGAGAGAUCCAUCAUCUGCACUCCCACAGUAAGAAGGAAGAAAAUUAUUAGGAGAGAAAGAGAUGAUAUAAAUACUUUAACGCACGAGUUAAAGCCACUCUGGAGAGUAAAGUUGCCUAAUACUUCUUCUGCAAGCUUAUCGAGAUCAAAGAGCAAAACAGUCCAUCUCUUUCCCAGACAGAAUAUGUCUGAAGAGGAAAAAUAUACUCCUACUGACUCGGACACUGACCUUUCUGAAUAUGACAAUGAGAUGUACUCAAUGUUUUUCUCCAACACUUGUAUGGAGGCAAAGAGUAACAAGACUGCAAGCCAAAAACAAGACGAAGAGAAGGCAGACAUAAAGUCCUCUCAGCAGAGGUUUGAGUUGAUGGGGCAGAGAGCUGCAGCUCAGCGAGUAAUGGGCAAGAUUGAGGAGGUGGAAGGAAUAAUACGCCGGGUGAGUCUCACCAGUUUGGACUGGAUCAAGGAAUGUCAUAAAGGAGAAGAAGAACCUCACUUUCUCUCAGAUGGGUGGAAGACAGAGGUGUCACUGCAGAAAAGUCGCGGAGCUGAAAUCAGUACUCAGUCCCCACUGGAGGACCAGAACAGGGAGUCCAGUGAAGACAAGCCUCUGUUUGUUGAGGAGCUUUGUGCUCUGGGUGAUGCUCUGAGACGGAGUCUGCAGCAGGCCCUGAGGAUGGAGGGAUCAAAAGCAGAGAGUGAAGGCUUUAAAGAGCCCGAGGAGACUUUUUGUGAGCAGAGCCACACAACAGAAGGGUCUCUGAAUCCACAAUCACCUCCUUUCCUCAUCGCCUCUGUUGUGCCAAACAGUGCCUCCUCACAUCCUCUUUCAGCAGGUGGAAAAAUCUCCCCUCUCUCUGAAAUCCUGGAGGUUUCUCCAAUUACAUCAAGCAGCUUAGAAAGACUGUCCCCCAUGCUGCCGCCUAUGCUCAUAUCCAGACUGAGCACAACUGAUCAGGAGGCAGAAACAUCACACAGAGUUUGGACCGAACCACUUGAAGACACCACAGUUAUUUGUGGGGCUCGAGACUGUGAAUGUGCCAGAGAAAGUGAUCACAGGGACACUCAGGAGCAGUUUACAGAGAAGGAUUAUCUGCUCUCUUCAGAUGAAGCUUUGCAGAGGCAGGAGGAGAUCUGGCAGCAGGAGAUCGAGGAGUCUCUCUCUAUCUGCAGGUCACUUUCCGAUCCAUCCAGACCCAAACACAUUGAUUUCCUGCGCAUCACUGCCCCCGAUGAUGACAUCACUGACACACCCACACCCACACCUGUGCCCCAGGAUUUGAGGGUGAGUAGAAUGAAAAGAAUGUGCUUUGAGCUCAUCUCACCACAGCACACAGUUUUAGAGUCUAAAGGUGGAUGACGAGGUGAUGGAGCAGUUGAAAACAGCAGCCACUGUUGCAAAGUAGAAAUGGCACUGGUAUGUCAGUUGUAGGAUCGAGAGGCUGUGUUCUGUAUAUGGCAUUAGGAGAGUGAGGCAUGUAAGCAUGGAGCUCUACUAGCUCAGAAUCAGAAUCAGAUUCAGAAUACUUUAUUACUUGCAGUCUGUGCUCUAUAUUUAAGAGCAAAAAAAUAAUCAGUGAGAAAAUAUUUUUACCUCAACUGCAUUGAGAGUGCGGUUAACUGCUGUGAUUAACGGCUCAUUGUGUAAAAAUACAAAAGCUGCUUUUCCCAGAACGUAAUUUAAUUUUAGUAUACUGCACACACUCUUCAUUCUGCAUGUGUGAAAAGUUACAAAGUGCCGUUAUUGUGAUGCCUCAAUCUAAUUUCAGUGCCGUUGUUCUCUGUAAACCUUCCUGAAAUAAGUCCCCGUCUGCAUCAGUCAGUGCUGCAUCACUAUGACAAUGAGCUUGUCCUUGCUUCACAAUUGUGUAAGUCCCAGCCUCAUGAGCCAGUCCAGGGCUACAAAGAGCUCUGUGUUCCCUGUAGUUGCAUAACAGAAGGGAUUUAACGCAACUCUGUAAGUGCAUUGUAGGAGAGAUGAUAAGCACUAAUAAAUUGAAUACUCCCUUCCUUCUGUGUGCGUGCAUGACUAACUUUGCUGAAAACAUUUGAAGUUUUGUUUAUUUGUUUUGGCAUUUUGAAUCUUUAUUUGACAGUAUGGAGAGAAAAAAGGAAAGCAGAGAGAAACAGGCAGGAAAUCAUCUGGGACAGACUCAAACCCAGUCUCCGGCAGUAGCCUUUGGCAUUUGGCUCACAUGCUCAACAAGGUGAACUAUGGCAGCACCCCAAGUGGUGUUUUAUUGUGAGGUACAGUAUA
Molecule: long non-coding RNA, 3091 nt
Organism: Oreochromis niloticus (Nile tilapia)
Lineage: Eukaryota; Metazoa; Chordata; Actinopteri; Cichliformes; Cichlidae
Source: Ensembl